This 305-nucleotide ribosomal RNA is filed under the name uncultured bacterium. RNAcentral describes it as "bacterial SSU rRNA". It matches the Rfam family "Bacterial small subunit ribosomal RNA", at positions 338 to 635 of the family's 1533-position model. The record is from RNAcentral.
CCUACGGGGGGCAGCAGUAGGGAAUCUUCGGCAAUGGACGAAAGUCUGACCGAGCAACGCCGCGUGAGUGAAGAAGGUUUUCGGAUCGUAAAACUCUGUUGUUAGAGAAGAACAAGGAUGAGAGUAACUGUUCAUCCCUUGACGGUAUCUAACCAGAAAGCCACGGCUAACUACGUGCCAGCAGCCGCGGCAAUACGUAGGUGGCAAGCGUUAUCCGGAAUUAUUGGGCGUAAAGCGCGCGCAGGUGGUUUCUUAAGUCUGAUGUGAAAGCCCACGGCUCAACCGUGGAGGGUCAUUGGAAACUG